This 478-nucleotide ribosomal RNA is filed under the name uncultured bacterium. Its description in RNAcentral is "partial 16S ribosomal RNA". It matches the Rfam family "Bacterial small subunit ribosomal RNA", at positions 28 to 507 of the family's 1533-position model. The record is from RNAcentral.
GAUGAACGCUAGCGGCAGGCCUAACACAUGCAAGUCGAGGGAGAAGCCCUUUCGGGGGCAGAAACCGGCGCACGGGUGCGUAACGCGUAUGCAACCUACCUUUCACAGGGGGAUAGCCCGAAGAAAUUUGGAUUAAUACCCCAUAAUAUUAUUGGAUGGCAUCAUUUGAUAAUUAAAACUGCGGUGGUGAAAGAUGGGCAUGCGUCCUAUUAGCUAGUUGGAGUGGUAACGGCACCCCAAGGCUACGAUAGGUAGGGAUCCUGAGAGGGAGAUCCCCCACACUGGUACUGAGACAGGGACCAGACUCCUACGGGAGGCAGCAGUGAGGAAUAUUGGUCAAUGGUCGGAAGACUGAACCAGCCAUGCCGCGUGCAGGAAGAAUGCCUUAUGGGUUGUAAACUGCUUUUAUAUGGGAAGAAUAAGGCGUACGUGUACGUUGAUGACGGUACCAUAUGAAUAAGCAUCGGCUAACUCCGUG